This 253-nucleotide ribosomal RNA is filed under the name uncultured bacterium. RNAcentral describes it as "partial 16S ribosomal RNA". It matches the Rfam family "Bacterial small subunit ribosomal RNA", at positions 524 to 776 of the family's 1533-position model. The record is from RNAcentral.
UACGAAGGGGGCAAGCGUUGUUCGGAAUUAUUGGGCGUAAAGGGCUCGUAGGCGGCCAACUAAGUCGGAUGUGAAAUCCCCAGGCUUAACCUGGGAACUGCAUCCGAUACUGGAUGGCUUGAAUCCGGGAGAGGGAUGCGGAAUUCCAGGUGUAGCGGUGAAAUGCGUAGAUAUCUGGAGGAACACCGGUGGCGAAGGCGGCAUCCUGGACCGGCAUUGACGCUGAGGAGCGAAAGCCAGGGGAGCAAACGGG